AGCGAACGCUGGCGGCAGGCUUAACACAUGCAAGUCGAACGGGCAUAGCAAUAUGUCAGUGGCAGACGGGUGAGUAACGCGUGGGAACGUACCUUUUGGUUCGGAACAACACAGGGAAACUUGUGCUAAUACCGGAUAAGCCCUUACGGGGAAAGAUUUAUCGCCGAAAGAUCGGCCCGCGUCUGAUUAGCUAGUUGGUAGGGUAAUGGCCUACAAAGGCGACGAUCAGUAGCUGGUCUGAGAGGAUGAUCAGCCACAUUGGGACUGAGACACGGCCCAAACUCCUACGGGAGGCAGCAGUGGGGAAUAUUGGGCAAUGGGCGAAAGCCUGAUCCAGCCAUGCCGCGUGAGUGAUGAAGGCCCUAGGGUUGUAAAGCUCUUUUGUGCGGGAAGAUAAUGACGGUACCGCAAGAAUAAGCCCCGGCUAACUUCGUG
This 435-nucleotide ribosomal RNA is filed under the name uncultured bacterium. RNAcentral describes it as "partial 16S ribosomal RNA". It matches the Rfam family "Bacterial small subunit ribosomal RNA", at positions 29 to 507 of the family's 1533-position model. The record is from RNAcentral.